This is a long non-coding RNA of Helianthus annuus (common sunflower), 391 nucleotides long. RefSeq lists it as uncharacterized. The transcript is spliced from 3 exons. The record is from RefSeq and is a predicted model, not a curated record. Lineage: Eukaryota; Viridiplantae; Streptophyta; Magnoliopsida; Asterales; Asteraceae.
CCUGAAUACCCAAAACGACAUCAACCACAACCGAACGUCACAGCAGAUGGCUUUGUCGACGGCAGUUUUGUUUCCGGCAACCCAUCAUUACAACCGAACGCUGUUCACACCCUCAGAUUGAUUAGUCCUUUCCGCAACAAGGUUUAUACAUCUGACCCAGCCAAUGUUUAAGACCGAUGACAAAAGUUAUGUUAAGUUGAAGAAAGAAGACAUUCUAUCAGGGAUUCGGCAAAUCAACAAGACACAUCCAACAUACUAAGAGAGACCUAAUCCGAAUUCACUUAUUUCGAGCCUGGAUUUUGUCUUUGAUGACAACCUGUGCGGGGUUGUUACUCUUACUUUGGGCUUGUGUUGGCCUUCAACUGUCAUGUUGCGACAGGUCAUGAACUAC